RNAcentral lists this ribosomal RNA (388 nucleotides) under Pericapritermes nitobei. RNAcentral describes it as "partial 16S rRNA". The record is from RNAcentral. Lineage: Eukaryota; Metazoa; Arthropoda; Insecta; Blattodea; Termitidae.
CUUUUCUUGUUAGUUUUUGAAGUAUGGCCUGCCCACUGACUUACUUGUUGAAGGGCCGCGGUAUUUUGACCGUGCAAAGGUAGCAUAAUCAUUAGUUCUUUAAUUGUGAUCUGGUAUGAAUGGCUUGACGAGGUAUAAGCUGUCUUAAUAGUAUUGUUGAUUGAAUUUAGUUUUUGAGUUAAAAUUCUUAGAUGUUUUUAUGGGACGAGAAGACCCUAUAGAGUUUUACAUUUAUUUCUACAUUGUUUUAAUUUGUUUGUUGUUUAUUUUUUGGUUGAUUGAAAUGUUUUGUUGGGGUGAUGGGAGGAAUUUUUUUAACUCCUCUUUUUUUUGUAUACUUAUUUGUAUUUUUUUGAUCCAUUUGUUUUGAUUAUAAGAUUAAAUUACC